RNAcentral lists this ribosomal RNA (433 nucleotides) under uncultured bacterium. RNAcentral describes it as "partial 16S ribosomal RNA". It matches the Rfam family "Bacterial small subunit ribosomal RNA", at positions 29 to 507 of the family's 1533-position model. The record is from RNAcentral.
AGCGAACGCUGGCGGCAGGCUUAACACAUGCAAGUCGAGCGGGCCUUUCGGGGUCAGCGGCGGACGUGUGAGGAACGCGUGGGAACGUGCCCUCUGGUUCGGAAUAACUCAGGGAAACUUGAGCUAAUACCGGAUACGCCCUUUUGGGGAAAGGCUUGCUGCCGGAGGAUCGGCCCUCGUCUGAUUAGCUAGUUGGUGAGGUAACGGCUCACCAAGGCGACGAUCAGUAGCUGGUCUGAGAGGAUGAUCAGCCACACUGGGACUGAGACACGGCCCAGCAUCGUACGGGAGGGAGGAGUGGAGAAUAUUGGACAAUGGGCGCAAGUCUGAUACAGCCAUGCCGCGUGAGUGAUGAAGGCCUUAGGGUUGUAAAGCUCUUUUAUCCGGGACGAUAAUGACGGUACCGGAGGAAUAAGCCCCGGCUAACUUCGUG